RNAcentral lists this long non-coding RNA (881 nucleotides) under Oreochromis niloticus (Nile tilapia). RNAcentral describes it as "lncRNA (ENSONIG00000034562.1)". The record is from RNAcentral. Lineage: Eukaryota; Metazoa; Chordata; Actinopteri; Cichliformes; Cichlidae.
AGUGGGGGAGUGUGCAGUGGUUGACUGUCUGAUGCGGUGGUGCAGGUUUCAGUGUUGCACAGGUCGGCCCAGUGCUGCCGGUGUUUUUGCCGGGGGUAACUACUUUGGCACAACACCUGUUGUCCGGUAGGGUGCCUGCCGAGCUCAAGCAUGCUGUUGAUGUCAGGAGCAGAGGAGAGGGUGAUCUCCUGCAAGGAAACAGACCAGGAUGCAAACGUCCGCUAUGUUUAGCUGAAGACCUGACUGCCCCCUGGACCAGCUGUUCAGCAAUGCACUAACAAGCGCCGCAAGUGUUUUUGUUCUUCUUUUCUUUUACAGAGGGGGAAUAUUAUUUAAUGGGACAGCGAAAACGCAACAACAAAAAAGAUUUUUUUUUGUUAUUUUCACGGACUAAUAGGCACACGGGUUGAGAAAUGUUUCCCACCAAGCAUCGAUUAGGCUUCACCUCUUCAUGCCUCACACUUCAAUGAGAAGAAGUCGACGUCCGGAGUAGAUUAAACCGCACAAGCAAAAGCCCCACUCCCCCCCCCCUCUCGGGAGAGGAGAAAAUGCGUGUGGAUCUGUUUUGGGUCUGUUUGUGGUGUUUGCUUCGCCCCGGUGCCACCGGUCAAGGGCAGUCGACGGCCGUUUGUUCGCUCUCAUGGGGGUGCAGACUGCUCCGGGAGAGGGUUGACCGCCGUCCCAACCGGGCUCAGUACUUUCACCUACUACCUAUCAUUAUAACGAUCAUGGUUUUCCACAUGACUGUCCAUUCUUACCCAUGCUCUCUGGUUGCGCGGAGAGCAUGGAGAAGGCUGAGGCCAAAAUUCCACUCCUCUUUCGUUGGUGCAUCUUCUGGUCCAGGUCCCGAGGACAGAUCCGAAGACCCGUCUGCUGUUUAA